UGAUUCUGCGUCCUGUUCUUCUA
This 23-nucleotide non-coding RNA is filed under the name Drosophila melanogaster (fruit fly). Lineage: Eukaryota; Metazoa; Arthropoda; Insecta; Diptera; Drosophilidae. The record is from RNAcentral.